AUGGAUCAGAGGACGAUCAUCAUGUGCUCGGUCGUCGGCUCUCUCGGGGUGCUGAGUGCCAUCCUGGGGUUCUCAGCCGAAGGCACGAAGCUCACCAUUUCGGACUUGUAUGUGGGCGGAGGGGUGUGCCUGUACCCGCAGAACCCGGCGCUGGGGCUCGGGGUCUGCGCCGCCAUCUUCCUCAUCGUGGCCCAGAUCGUCUUCGCGGCCGUCGGCGGCUGCUGCGGCUGCUGCAAGUCCCGCGCCAUCCCCUCCGAGACCAACCGGAUCAUCGGCGUCAUCUGCGCCGUCUUCUCAUGGAUUUCGGCGAUGAUCGCGUUCGGGCUGCUGGUGGAGGGCGCUGCGUGGAACUCCACCGGGACGCGGUACUCGUCAGUGUACGGGUAUUGCUACGUCCUUAAGGACGGCAUCUUCGCCGGAGGUGCCGUGCUCACGCUCGUCGCCACGGCCCUCGGGGUCACCUCCUACAUCAUGCUCCGCAAGCAGCCUGCCGCCGCGGCGGUGCCCAAGGCAGGCGAGCAGAUGCCGGCGGGCGGCGCCGGGAUCGCGAUGGGGCAGCCGCAGUUCCCGCAGCAGGCUUCUCCACAGGGGCAGGGGUACGGGCAGGCGCCGCCGAGCUACCCGCAGUACUCGCCGCCGCCUCAGGGACAACAGGGGUACGGCCAAGCGCCGAACGCGCAGUUCCCUCCUACCGCCUCUCCUCCAUACGGCCAGGCGCCCAGCCCGCACUACGCCCCUCCUCCGGCACAAGGCUACGCACCCAACCAGCAGCAGCAGCAGCAGCAGCAGUUCCCAGCUCCUCCGGCGCAAGGCUACGGGGCACACGCGCCGAACCAGCACUACCCUCCUCCUCCUCCCGCUCAUGGCUACGGAGCGCACGCGCCGAACCAGCAGUUUCCCCCUGCAUCUCCUCCUCCUGCUCAUGGCUAUGGACCGCACACGCCUCCUACAGGACACCAACAGGUGUAA
RNAcentral lists this ribosomal RNA (969 nucleotides) under Triticum aestivum (bread wheat). RNAcentral's name for it is "partial small subunit ribosomal RNA". Lineage: Eukaryota; Viridiplantae; Streptophyta; Magnoliopsida; Poales; Poaceae. The record is from RNAcentral.